RNAcentral lists this ribosomal RNA (253 nucleotides) under uncultured bacterium. Its description in RNAcentral is "partial 16S ribosomal RNA". It matches the Rfam family "Bacterial small subunit ribosomal RNA", at positions 524 to 776 of the family's 1533-position model. The record is from RNAcentral.
UACAGAGGCCUCGAGCGUUAGGCGGAAUCACUGGGCUUAAAGCGUGUGUAGGCGGACUUCUAAGUACCUUGUGAAAUCCCACGGCUUACCCGUGGAACGGCUGGGUAUACUGGGAGUCUUGAGCCACCUAGGGGCGAGUGGAACAAAUGGUGGAGCGGUGAAAUGCGUAGAUAUCAUUUGGAACGCCAAUGGUGAAAACAACUCGCUGGGGGUGUGCUGACGCUGAGACACGAAAGCCAGGGGAGCAAACGGG